UAGAAAGUUAACACGUGAAGCCAAAGGGAGAAAGCACCCAUUUACACUCAAUAAGGAGAAAAUCCUCCCCUCCAAGCUCGGCCGUCGCCUCAGUCGGAGGGCAGCACUUCCAACAUCGGCCGUCAACAUUUUCGGCCACACUUCGAUCGCACCCAUUUGCCCCAAAUUACGCACUUUCCAUCUCCACCAUUUGGACACUUAGACGGGAAAGCACGGCAAAGGAAAAUCAAACAAAAGGUGCAAAUUUCUUCUGUCGUUCAACAACAGCAACUUCUUAGGUACAGUAUUCAUCACACUAUGCAAAGAUUUACAGAUCCACAAACACAAAUUAUUGUUUGAACAACUGAAUCUCCAUAGUGAAGGUGUAUAGUUCACAAACCUGGAGCCUGCAGUUCCUAUAGUGUGUGUAAAAAGUCAUUACCAAUAUUCUUGAUGUCCGUAAAAUAACCCAAAAAUCUCAAUUUCCGUAUACUUUUGCCGAUGUGUUACUAGCUUAACUUAGAUUUAUUGUAUCUUAAUACGGGUUUUUCUCAAGGCCCAGUUCGUAAAAAUGCAGAAAAAGGCUGAGGGAUUGGGACGAUUCGACUAGUUCAGUCUUUGCGUGAUUCUGCAUCCUUUGGUGAUGUGGGUGAGAUUCAAGGAUUUGAUUUCGCAGAAUGGUUGAAGAAUAUAGUGUCAGAGAGUGACUAUUUGGUAAUGAAGAUGGACGUUGAAGGACUGAAUUUGAUCCGAUUCCAAGGUUGAUCGAGAUGGGAGCAAUAUGCUUCAUCGAUUAAAACUUUCUUAAAUGUCAUUACAAUAGGUAGCAGAAAUGCUGCCCCAGUGAGAGGGACAGCAAGUACCAUAAAACAUAUGGGCAAUGCUUGGAUUUGUAUACUUCCCUUAUAGCAAGAGGAGUUUUAGUCCAUCAAUGGUGGUGGCCUCUUCAAUCCCUCAGCCUGGAGCAAUUGUAGCCCUAUGUAUGUUUCAAUUGGAGUUGGCUUUAGAAAAGAGAGUUAAAUUUUACUAGAUCUUAAACAAUUUGUUUGGCAUUUCAUAAUGGUUUAUGCCUUUUAAAUUGUUUGAUACAAAAAGAAGGAUUGGAAUAAAAUUUGUAGGAUAUAUAAUUGACUACACUGUCUAUGUCAAAUAGACUCUAUUGCAGAUGAGAAUAAGUACCAUUAUGAUAGUAAGAACAUACAUAAAAUGAUAAAACAAACCUAAGAGAUCGAACUAUUGCAGAUGUGAACAAGUACUAUUAUGACACAAUAUACAUAAACUGAUAAAACAAGCCCUGAGAGAUCAAACAGUGCAUAAAGAUUCAAGAUUGACCAUUGCUAGCUGCUCAGUUACUAUAGACUAUCGAUAUCAUAAUCUUCGUGGUCCCAAGUAUCAGCCACAUUCAUGUAAGGUCCCUAUCGCUUGUUCGCGAACAAGCUAUCACUGUUAGCUUUUUCAAUACUCGUUUCUGCAGGAGGCAAAAGACAUAUCAUCAAUAUAAUAUUUCUUAACUCCAAACUAAAUAACUCCUCAAUGUCCAAAACUAUGGUAUGGACAUGUAUUACCAUAACAUGGAUUCCAUUUUUCUUACAGGCCUCCACCAUUUUGUCAUUCCUCCAUCCCAAAUGCAUCUCCAUCUAAAAACAAAAAACAACAUAAAAUAUAUUAUAUGAGAUUUCCGUUGCAAUUAAAAAACGAUCACGUAGAAUCCAAAAUUCAGACUUGGCAUACAGAAGGCUUUAUCUUAGCAACACUUAGUAACUUAUGCAGUUUCUUUAGUGUGAAAUUGCAAACUCCAAUGUCUCUAACAAGAUUGUCAUUCACAAGUUUCUCCAUUUUCCUCCCAAACUCCUUCCAUGUCGAAAUCCAAAAUGUUCCCUACUUUUGGAGGUCUAUUGGCUUCAUCUUUCAAGUGGAAUGGCCAAUGGAUCUUACAUAUCAAUAGAGAAAAUGACACUUUAACAGGUAACUUUAUAGCAUAUUUGAAGGAAACAAAUAUGUAUAAGAAAAACACCAAAUAGAGAUCAAGGUAGUCAAGUUUCAGUUCUUGAAGUGUAUUUUGGAGGGCUGUAUUAGAAUAAAUGAGCAUCAGGCAGCUCAGUAGAUCAGCCAACAGAACAACCAGCUCAGCUCAAGAUGAUUUAGGCGCCAAAUUUAGCUAGAAAUUAGUUGUGUACAGUUGUCAAGUUAGUUAGUUAGUUGAUUGUUAGAAUCAGUUAACCAAUUCUAUUUAAGCUCACCAUUGUACUGAUAAUCAGAUUGAUUAAACGAGAAUUUCAUUUCGUUCUUCCAAAUUUCCUCUUUUCUUCAAUAGGCUAGGCGAACUCUUUCAGGAGUCAACUCAUUGCACCUUACAUUCACCAUAAAAUCACACUCUGUUAGAAACAUCUAUAACUUAUCUUCUAACUUGCAGAAUAAACAUCUAGUUAAACAAUAGUCGUUUUAAACCCCAGGAGAUGUUCUGCACCAUAACUUAGACGUGAUGAACAAAGCUCUCCUCUACAAUCUUGCGUGUAUAGCCGAAUUGACUUCUUGUCCUACCUAGAAGACAUUAAAAAGAAAUAGAUGAGAGG
RNAcentral lists this long non-coding RNA (2552 nucleotides) under Olea europaea subsp. europaea. The record is from RNAcentral. Lineage: Eukaryota; Viridiplantae; Streptophyta; Magnoliopsida; Lamiales; Oleaceae.